Long non-coding RNA from Pomacea canaliculata, 1021 nucleotides. RefSeq lists it as uncharacterized. The record is from RefSeq and is a predicted model, not a curated record. The transcript is spliced from 3 exons. NCBI's taxonomy places the organism in Eukaryota, Metazoa, Mollusca, Gastropoda, Architaenioglossa, Ampullariidae.
GAACUACUUUGACCUCAUAUGUUGCAGCAUUAAUAGCUUGAAAUAGCACCAUCACAAAACAUACAUUUGAAAAAACUUAACUUGGAAAUAGUCAACUGAUAAUGUUCUUCAUUGUCACACAAGAGAUUUCUUCAAACAAGCAGCAAAGAAAAAGACAGGAGACACGAGACAGAUAACUUCUAAAGCAUCUGACGUCGAGAUUCAGCAGUUCUAUCAACACUCAUCACAUCGCCAUAUGAAUACCUAUUGAAGAGAACAAUGAGACUGUCUUUAUUGGUAUAGUUAAGGUAUACGUCAAGGUUAGAAUUCAUCAUGAGUGCAGUUUGUGGCGAAGAUAAAAGUCAAAACAAUCUUAACAAAAAGUAACAAGCAUAAAGCAGUGAAAGCUAUUUUUCAGGAUAUUCAAACUUUGUGAUUAUAACUACUAGAUUCUGUGUCAUUCAUCUUUUAAAUUAUUCCAUGGUAAUUUGAGCUUGUUCUAGAAAUUUGUUAUUACAGUUUGAGAUUUAUGCUUCUUUUUAUGUUAUUCACAUACAAGAAAAUGAAAAAAAUGUUAUGAUCAGAUGGCUUUCAAUUAACAGCAAUGGUCAGUGUGUGUGUAUGUCUAGUAAAGAAGAAAAGUUUCCCAAAGGUGACAACUGGAAUCAUUUGUCUUGUAUGGUCCAUUAUUUAGAAAAAAUAUUUACUAAAAAGACUCACCCUAUCCUAGACUGAGUUUUUAUUGUAUUACACUUUGCAAAUGUAGCAGCAUAAAUCUUUAAAGACCCUUUUAAAAUCACAUUUAAGAAAAAAAAACCAACCCAACAUUUAAAAUGCAUCUUGUUUAUUGAGAGUUCAAAUGGUUAGACAAUCAACAUUUGACAUUUUUUAUACCUGAUAUUUUGGGUAAGCUCAACAACAUAUGAAUCAAUACACCUGCAAAUAAAUGUAGGUAUGAAAUUUGUAUAAACCAUAUUUAUAUUGAAUAUCUGUAUAAAUGCAUUACAUCUUAAACAGAAGGAAACUUUUCUAGUCUAAGGAC